AUUUCUUCAACUUAUUUGGUUUAAUUUUUGACUGAUUUUGGAUACUACAUUAUCGACGAGGCAAAUUCAUUGCUGCCAGACUGAAGGAAACUUACAAGAAAGUAAGAUAAGAUUUUGGGCGGGAUAUGUGCAGAAUAGAGGGAGAAAAGAGUGAAUUUGAAGGCAGAGAGAGGAAGAGAAGGAGGUGGGGAUUGAACGUAAUGGGAUUCAAAGCAGCUGCUUUAGGUGAUAGUCGUGUGGAGAAACUGAAAAGUUCUAUGAUGUCGCGGUCUAGAAUGAAGUUAUGGAUGAUAAGGGCAACAACUUCGAUUUUGUUGUGGACUUGUGUGGUUCAAUUGAUGACUUUAGGGGAGACUUGGGGUCCUAGAGUUUUGAAGGGGUGGCCUUCUUGUUUCUCACAGGAAUCUACUGCUGCAUUUGCUCUCCAAUCGUCGCUGGAGGUCCCUGCCAGAGUUCUUCCACCUAAGAGGGUUUACAAGAAUAAUGGUUACCUUAUGGUUUCAUGCAAUGGAGGGCUGAAUCAAAUGAGGUCUGCGAUAUGUGAUAUGGUUGCCAUAGCAAGAUAUUUGAAUGUGACUCUCAUAGUUCCUGAGCUGGACAAAACCUCGUUUUGGGCUGAUCCAAGUGAAUUUCAAGAUAUUUUUGAUGUUGAUCAUUUUAUAACAUCCUUGAGGGAUGAAGUUCGAAUAUUGAAAGAGCUACCCCCAAGACUGAAGAGGAGAGUACUGCUAGGAAUGAUUUAUACCAUGCCUCCUAUUAGUUGGUCUGAUAUUUCUUACUAUCAAGAUCAGGUCCUUCCAUUGAUUCGGAAAUAUAAAGUUGUUCACUUGAACAGAACUGAUGCUCGGCUUGCCAAUAACGGUCAGCCUUUUGAAAUUCAGAAACUGCGAUGCCGAGUCAAUUUUAGUGCCUUAAAAUUUACCCCUCAGAUAGAAGAGUUGGGUAAAAAGGUUAUUCGACUUCUCAGGCAAAAGGGUCGUUUUAUGGUGCUGCAUCUGAGGUAUGAAAUGGAUAUGUUAGCUUUCUCUGGCUGUAAUCAGGGCUGCAACAAGGAGGAGGUUGAAGAGUUGACGAGAAUGAGAUACGCUUACCCGUGGUGGAAAGAAAAAAUCAUUAACUCUGAAUUGAAAAGGAGAGAUGGUCUCUGUCCUUUGACACCUGAGGAGACUGCUCUUACUUUAAGGGCAUUAGACAUUGAUUCUAGCAUCCAAGUCUAUAUUGCUGCUGGGGAGAUAUAUGGUGGGACAAGGAGAAUGGCGAGUCUUGCGGCAGCUUAUCCAAAUUUGGUGAGGAAGGAGACACUACUAGAACCUUCCGACCUUAUGUUCUUUCAGAAUCACUCUUCUCAAAUGGCUGCAUUGGACUAUCUUGUUUCAUUGGAGAG
Molecule: unclassified non-coding RNA, 1384 nt
Filed under: Hevea brasiliensis (rubber tree)
Lineage: Eukaryota; Viridiplantae; Streptophyta; Magnoliopsida; Malpighiales; Euphorbiaceae
Source: RNAcentral